GGUUUAUCUUGGCAAUGAAACACAACUGCUCCUGGCACACCAAUUACAUCAGAAAGGAGGAUGGACAUCGAAGAAAGUCAUUAUGGAGUUUGCUUUCAACAUGGCAAGAUUAGCCAUUUGGGCAAGAAACUGCUCUUGCCUGGACUGUUUUUUGCUGUAUAAACUGGACAUACAGGACCCACAAGAAAGUGACUGCUGAACUUACAAAACAAGACAAUACUGAAGGGUUCCUGUUGAAAUGGAGAAGUGUGCCAGACACACUGUGGCCUAAAGGCUGAAGAUGGAUGCCCCAAAGUUACAGAGGAACUUUGACUGUCCAGAGAAAUCCAGUGCCAAAACUGUGUCACCAGAGCAAAUCCAG
RNAcentral lists this long non-coding RNA (361 nucleotides) under Cricetulus griseus (Chinese hamster). RNAcentral's name for it is "lncRNA (ENSCGRG00015043429.1)". The record is from RNAcentral. Lineage: Eukaryota; Metazoa; Chordata; Mammalia; Rodentia; Cricetidae.